RNAcentral lists this ribosomal RNA (253 nucleotides) under uncultured bacterium. Its description in RNAcentral is "partial 16S ribosomal RNA". It matches the Rfam family "Bacterial small subunit ribosomal RNA", at positions 524 to 776 of the family's 1533-position model. The record is from RNAcentral.
GACGUAGGAGGCGAGCGUUAUCCGGAUUCACUGGGCGUAAAGCGCAUGUAGGCGGUUGGACAAGUCGUGUGUUAAAGCCCCUGGCUCAACUGGGGGAGGUCAUGCGAGACUGUGCGACUUGAGGGCAAGAGAGGCACGUGGAACUCCCGGUGUAGCGGUGGAAUGCGUAGAGAUCGGGGAGAACACCAGUGGCGAAGGCGACGUGCUGGGUUGCACCUGACGCUGAGAUGCGAAAGCGUGGGGAGCAAACAGG